This 1148-nucleotide long non-coding RNA is filed under the name Helianthus annuus (common sunflower). RNAcentral describes it as "hypothetical non coding rna". Lineage: Eukaryota; Viridiplantae; Streptophyta; Magnoliopsida; Asterales; Asteraceae. The record is from RNAcentral.
AUGAUGAUGGUGACCCAUAACAGAAGGUGUUAAUUGUUUGUUUUGUUUAUGUAUUUUCCAAAUUAUAGUUAUUGUUUGGUUAACAAAGUCUUGAGAUAGGCUAGCAAAUCAUUUUUUCAAUGUGAGGUCAUUUUUACCAUUUUUUUUUAAUUCAUCAAUUUAGUGCCUUUAUAUGUGACAAAUGAAUUCAUGAUGUCUAAUGUGAACAUGUUCGAUGAUAUACCAAUUGAUAUUUUUCUUCCUUUUUAAUUUAAUUAUUAUUUUUAUUUUUCUAUAUUUUGAUCCAAAUUUUCAACCAAUUCGAUGAGAUGCGCCUUAGUUUUUUAUUAUUUUAAUUUAGCUAUUAAAUUUUUUAUUAAGUGUUGAUCCAACAAUGAAACAUGUUUCGAUGAAAUGCCUCUGUGAAUAGUUUUAUUCUUCUUUUUACGAUUUAAUUAUUGAUUUCUAUAUGAUUUUGUGAUGAAGACACACAAGGGCUCCAAAGAAAAGCAAAACAAAUAAUUUGAGUUGAAGGACUUUUCAGAAAAGUCCAAAGUCAAAUGUCAAAUGUGAGAAAGUUAAUUGCACAUCUAAUUUAUUGGUGCAUAGGUAAUGGGGAACAUUAGCUUUGGUGGGUGGGUGUUUUUGGUGUGCGUUAGGAAUAACGUGAUGCAUUGCUACUCGAGAUAAUUGAAGGUGUUAAUACGAUUUGGAUAGUUCAAUUCGCAAGGUUGUUUUGGUUCAUGUGGUAUAUUUCUUUUCUUUUCUUUCGGAGGUAUUGGAGUAUUUUCUGUAUGAUUUAAGAAACAACCAGGUUGGUCCGCAUUGGUUCUUUUGGCAGAAUGACAUGACUUAGCAAAAGAUAGCAUGGGUCAUCAUGAGUUAGGAAGCUAAGUUCAAGAUGGCUCGGAUGAAGAUGGGCUAAGCGGUGGUCACUGACAAAGGCCCAAGUUUUGCAGAGGGUUCAGGGGCAUUGGUAAGAAAGUCGGGAAACAAAAGGUAAUAUUACCACGGUGAGACGAAGGAUAGAAGGCGAGAAAUAAAAUAAUAGUAGAUAGUACACAAUAUUAUUCAAGAGUACAAUGUAAUCUUUAGAGACUUAUAAUUUUUGCUUACUUAUUACGAAUUCAUUGUAAUUUAAUAUUUACUUAACUUAUGGAAUGUUUCUU